CCUACGGGAGGCAGCAGUGGGGAAUUUUGCGCAAUGGGCGAAACCCUGACGCAGCAACGCCGCGUGAGUGACGAAGGCCUUCGGGCUGUAAACUGCUUUCAGCAGGGCAGAAAUUGACGGUACCUGCAGAUGAAGCUCCGGCUAACUACGUGCCAGCAGCCGCGGUAAUACGUAGGGGGCGAGCGUUAUCCGGAAUCAUUGGGCGGAAAGCGGGCGUAGGUGGCCCGCUAAGCCGGAAGUUAAACCCACGGGGUCAACUUUCGGACGGGGUGCGGAACUGGGCGGCUGGAGUGCGGUAGAGGAGAGGGGAAUUCCUGGUGUAGCGGUGGAAUGCGUAGAUAUCAGGAAGAACACCGAUGGCGAAGGCAGCUCUCUGGGCCGUCACUGACGCUGAGGCGCGAAAGCUGGGGGAGCAAACAGGAUUAGAUACCCUAGUAGUC
This 440-nucleotide ribosomal RNA is filed under the name uncultured bacterium. Its description in RNAcentral is "partial 16S ribosomal RNA". It matches the Rfam family "Bacterial small subunit ribosomal RNA", at positions 338 to 795 of the family's 1533-position model. The record is from RNAcentral.